RNAcentral lists this ribosomal RNA (386 nucleotides) under uncultured bacterium. RNAcentral's name for it is "bacterial SSU rRNA". It matches the Rfam family "Bacterial small subunit ribosomal RNA", at positions 28 to 417 of the family's 1533-position model. The record is from RNAcentral.
AAUCAACGCUGGCGGCGUGCCUAACACAUGCAAGUCGAACGCGAAAAGGGGCAACCCUGAGUAGAGCGGCGAACGGGUGAGUAACACGUGGGUGACCUGCCCUCAGCUCUGGGAUAAGCCUGGGAAACCGGGUCUAAUACCGGAUAUGACUCCAUGACGCAUGUUGUGGGGUGGAAAGCCUUGUGCGGCUGAGGAUGGGCCCGCGGCCUAUCAGCUUGUUGGUGGGGGAUGGCCUACCAAGGCGACGACGGGUAGCCGGCCUGAGAGGGCGACCGGCCACACUGGGACUGAGACACGGCCCAGACUCCUACGGGAGGCAGCAGUGGGGAAUCUUGCGCAAUGGGCGAAAGCCUGACGCAGCGACGCCGCGUGAGGGAUGACGGCCU